UAAAUACAGGGUUAUGGCAGCAGCUUUGAACUUUCUUAGUAUUAAAAAAAGCUUCCCAGAAAUAUUAACAAACCCAGCUAUAUUUUGACAGUGAUGGAGGUUUAGUUUUAUUUGAAAUUAGUUGCUGUGGCUCCUUAUCUUUCACCCUGAAGUCACAGAGAAAUAUUCUUUCCAUUAUUUUUCCCUGAUGCUUAUCACAGCUGGCUCUGUGUGCAGGCUGGGCUUAGCUGUGGGUGAGUUCGCUCUUGCUUCUCAGCUCUUUCUCUUUGCUGCCCCGAGAACAUUUUGCUUGCAAUGUGUGGAUGAUGUUUGCACCUAGCUAGUUCUGGUGCGUGUCCCUGCAAACACUGCUGUUUGCGCACUAUUCCCCCAUCCACCAUGGUGAGUGGGGCUUGUCGUGCUUCCAGAGCUGGGGUGCUCUGGACGCCAAGUGGACUUUACAUUUUCCUUGUUAUCAGAAGGAACUAGAGAUGAUAUCGUUACAUUCUGUUUCUUUUUGCUGGAGAGAAUGUGUCUUUUAUGUUUCCCCCUCCCUUCGCUAACUUCCCACUCAGCCUUCACUUUGUGGAAUUCUCAAAUGAAUAUUCAUCUUUCCCCAUUCCCACUCCUUUUCUUAUAUGGGCCCUGGUAAGUAAUGCAAUGUCUAAAAUUCAGAUGAUUCAUGUGGUUUAUAGGAAAUAAAGGGGGAAAUGUGCUGAUUGAAAUGACUGACUUGUGCAUUGGCCAGCAGUGCGAAGCACUGUGAAUUCAGGGCCUUGUUCCUAGUGGUGUCUGCAACCGCCUCCCUGUAUCCUGAGUGGGAAGCAGACACAGCCAGGCUCUGUGAGCAGUGAGCCUCAUGACUUCCCAGUGCAGAGGGGAACAGCUUGCUGCUCAGUGUGUGCACAGGUCUUUGGGAGAAAGCUGCAGUCCGCAUGAUUUGUGAGCUGUGGUUUUAUAAAAUGGCUUAAUGAAACUGUUCAUUUGGUCUCAAUUGGAUUACAAUAAGCAGCUGUCUUACGGUGAAUAUCUGGCUGAUGAGUUUUGCCUAGUAGAUCUUCUUUCUGGAGUACGAUGGACACAUACUAUUAAUGAAGAGAUGAGGGGAAAUUACAGUGCUUCAAGAGUGGUAGCCUUGCUUCGGGUGGGCAUGCCUGAUAAGUAAACUCACUACUGAAGAUAUCUCUAGAGGGACAGUUCUCCAAGAGCUUCUCAGCAAUGCUUUGGGCCAGUGGAAAUGAGAUCAAAUCACGGUUUCAACCUGGGAGAAUUGGGACCAGAAAGCCAAGCUGGAGCUGUCAUCUGUGAUCUGUCAUUCUGCCGGGCUGCUCAUUUAGAAGAAACGCCUUUGUUGAAAUAAGAAUAAAAACAAUAAUUGACUA
Molecule: long non-coding RNA, 1361 nt
Organism: Meriones unguiculatus (Mongolian gerbil)
Lineage: Eukaryota; Metazoa; Chordata; Mammalia; Rodentia; Muridae
Exons: 2
Source: RefSeq, a predicted model, not a curated record